RNAcentral lists this ribosomal RNA (444 nucleotides) under uncultured bacterium. Its description in RNAcentral is "bacterial SSU rRNA". It matches the Rfam family "Bacterial small subunit ribosomal RNA", at positions 28 to 507 of the family's 1533-position model. The record is from RNAcentral.
GACGAACGCUGGCGGCAGGCCUAACACAUGCAAGUCGAACGUGAAGCUGGAGCUUGCUCCAGUGGAAAGUGGCAGACGGGUGAGUAACGCGUGGGAAUUUACCCAGUGGUACGGAAUAACUCAGGGAAACUUGUGCUAAUACCGUAUAAGCCCUUCGGGGAAAGAUUUAUCGCCAUUGGAUGAGCCCGCGUUAGAUUAGUUUGUUGGUGGGGUAAUGGCCUACCAAGACUACGAUCUAUAGCUGGUCUGAGAGGAUGAUCAGCCACACUGGGACUGAGACACGGCCCAGACUCCUACGGGAGGCAGCAGUGGGGAAUAUUGCACAAUGGGCGCAAGCCUGAUGCAGCCAUGCCGCGUGAGUGAAGAAGGCCUUAGGGUUGUAAAACUCUUUCACCGGUGAAGAUAAUGACGGUAGCCGGUAAAGAAGCCCCGGCUAACUCCGUG